Molecule: long non-coding RNA, 579 nt
Filed under: Equus caballus (horse)
Lineage: Eukaryota; Metazoa; Chordata; Mammalia; Perissodactyla; Equidae
Description: lncRNA (ENSECAG00000045824.1)
Source: RNAcentral
GUUUGCCAUGUUCACUCAAACUUCUAGUUUUAAUCCAUCCCUUGUGGCUACUUGCGCAGUUUCAGUUUCUAUGCAAGCUCUUCUGCAUGACCUUGUACAGUUAUAAAUGUUUUAACAUCCAUAAAAAAGUAAAACCGUGCGCUCCCAUAAAGAGCAGCAAACAGAAAACACAGCGAGUAGAAGGAAGAUUUGAGGCCGUGCAACGCUAGUCUCGCUGCGGCCGACGUUCCUGCGCGUCCAUUGCAUCCCUGACGUUUAAUGGCUGUGAAUACGGUUAUCGCGGCUUUUUAGAGGGCAUUAUAUUAGUGUGACCGUCGCUCCCGUGUAGUGAUUGCCCUCACAGAGACCCACGUGGCAAGAAACUGAGGGAGGCCUCCAGCCAACAACCAGCAAGGAGCUGAGGCCCUUGGUCUAACAUCCAGGAUGAAAUAUGCCUUGCCAACAACGACAUGGGAUCUCUGUCACCCAUGAUUGUGACAUACUGAUGUCAUCUUAAGAGUGGGCCAUCGUGUAUCAUCAUAAAGACUGACUCAUCUUCUCCAUCUCAUCACAGACCUGAUCUUCCUGUGGGGGAUCCCA